CAUAGCUCUGGUGGCGCAGGACCCAUUUGCCUGCACGGAGUGGUUCAGACCCAUUAUAGGCACAUCCUGUUCGUGGCCGCAUUUGUCUGCAUUGAGCUGAUGAAAGUAUCGUCACCAUGAAGAGCAGCAAUAAAACGAGCCUGACACCCACGGCCUCGGAUGUUCCUCUGCGGAGCAGGGAGGUUCUGAUGCAGAGCGAGGCUAUGCCAGGAAAGCCUGAACCCCUCCCCAGCCCCCCAGCCCCAAGCGUUUCUCGAAGAGACUGAGCUUGGGGAUAUAAGCAAAAGAGCUCCGGGCUGCAGGACUGCGACCCAGGUGAGCAUCAGAGGGAAGAGGGUCAUCCUUUCGAGAAGAGCCAAGCGUGCCUGGGCUGGACUGCGAUGGCGGGAACAUCAAGGAAUCAAAGCUUAAGGAGAGGGCCUCUCAGGUAAGCCCUGAUCCAGCAGUGGCACCCCAGUGGGGUUACUGUGUGGGGUGGAGGGUCUCCCCACUCUUCCCACCUUAUUUAGAAGCUGUUAGAUCAACGGAAUCCCUGGACAAGUAAGAGAUGUUGGGUGUACAGGGAAGGCUGCUUCAUGCGCCUCUGGGGCCAGCCUUACUCAUCCGCCCCGGCUCGUGGGAAAGGAUCCCGGCACUGUCCACCUGCUUUCAUUUAAUCUCAUAAGGAUCCCAUAAGCAGGUGCUCUUAGCCACCAAUGUCUUUCUAAAUCCAGGCCCUGAGUCUCCCCAGAUUCCAGCUCCAACUUCAGGCAAGGACAGGGGUUACAGGCAGAAAAUUAAGGAAGGUAUAGAUGAAACAGUAGGCAUCUUUCGUGCCCUGACGACUAUGAAAUAGUUAGGGGUGAGUAGGCCCGACUGCCCGAAACGCAAAUAAACAAGCGGAGGCCCGAAGACCGGCCAUUUGGUCAGUGCGGUGGGAGCCGGGGGGGCUCUCCUGCUCUCGGGAAGCAACUUCCUGACUCCAGCGUGGCACUCGUCGCGCGAAUCAGCCAACCACAGACGCACCAGAAGGGCUGCAAUCUGGCCCUGACGUGGCAGGGGUAACUGGCACUUCGUUCGCCACUGGCAAGGAGACGCGUGUUUGCAGGAAAGCGAUCCCUUUGCUAACACUCAGUACUUUUCAAAGUCAUUUCUCAAUCUUCGGAGCCUUAUGGCUACUUUUGCUCUGAGUGGAGUGCUGCGUCUGCCUUACCCACGCCUUCUGGCCUCCGGAAGCGGACUUUCUGGGUUGGCGUCUGCCUUCUGCCCAUUCCCAAAUGGGAGGCAUUGAACAAAAUACUGAAACUCUUCUUGCCUCAGUUUUCUCAUCAAUACAAUGGGUUUGUUUUUGAGGAUUAAAUGGAAAACAAAAAAAGGCAGGGUAAGUGCUCACUGUUGGUCUAUUGUCCGUUUUCAGUAAAUAUCAGUUUUUAUCAAUAAGGUCCGGUGGAUAUGAGUCCACUGGGAAGAUGUAUUUGGAAACGUUGUGUGAACACAAGUAUGUCAUGAAUCCGCUCUUACGAUUUGUCCUGCGUUCUUCGUCUCUGGAACUAGCACAGAGAAGAUAGGUGCUGUUUUCCAGGACACCCGAGAUUCCUGGACGUGGAGAAAUGCAGGACUGUGCGCCAGGUCACCGGGUGUCGGACGGAAGGGUGAUUCCCAUAUUACGGAAGCUUCUUUUAACACAUGGUUAUGGGGCCCGGGCAUGACACGGGGCCUCCCAAGGGCCUGGAUCCCCAAUGUCAGAGCCUGGGUUUGGGGGCCUCCCCCCAACAUCUCUCAUGUCUUACUUUCUCGUGGCCUCUUCUGUGCCUACCUGCUCACGUCUGGGGCAACAGACCCCGGCCCUUUACCAUUUUUCUCCAUAAAUGAAUUUCACUCAGGAGAUGGAUUGUGGAAAACUCUCCUGCGGGUCUGAGGAGUCACUGGGAGCGACCCUACAGAACAGCUCACAGUCUCCCCCAUCUCCCUGCUCUUCCACCCCGAACGGGGCUGCCUUGGCAAUGGCUGACAGCACAUCAGUGACUUUCCUGCCUCCUGCAGCCCCCUGGGAAAUGGAGUCCAGCCCCACCACCUCGCCUGGUUAGAGGUGUUCAAGAAAGUCAGGCCCACGGACCCGAGCUCUGCUUCUGCCGUCUCUGGGUUCAAAUCCAGGGUCUUCAGCUUCCUAACAAUCUUGACCAAGACACUGAAGUUCUCUGCACAUCUGUUUCCUCCUCUGAAAAAGGGAAGUGUUUUCCUCUGAAAAUGGAACCGAAACCUAGGAUAGAGAUGAGAACUCUGCUCUCCUGGUUCCUCCUGCCUGACCCUGCACCUCUGCUUUUUAUCGGAGAUGAGCUGAAACCCCUUCAUAAUCUGCUGUCAUCUUACAAACAGAAUUCCGUCUCUUCUGCAUAGCAGACUAGGAAAGCAGACGUAGUCCCAUGUUAGGGUAAGUGUGAUUAAAUUCAAAGAGUUUGUAACCUGUUCUCAAUCACAGAAGUGUCUCGUGUGGCAGCCACAGCCAGAAAUCUCCAUGUCUGCCUCCUGACUCCAAGGCUAGUGCUCUUUCUGCUGGAGAAUACAGCACAACAAGCACACUCCCCUGCAGCUAUUAGAUAAUGACGAAGACAGACACACACACAGAGACACAUGUACAGACAUAUGCGUGUACGUACACCCACCAUUCACUUCUACAGGGGUUGAGAGGGACCAGUUCUGAGUGUAACAGCUUACUCAGGGUAAUAAUUCUUACCUCGUGAAGUAUCUCAUUUACAAGGUAAAGGUUUUGCUUUUAGAGUCCUAAGAUUCCAUCUGGCUCACUCUAGGUCUCAAAGACGUGUUUCUCACUCCUUUUUCUGUUAGAAACUUCUCAACUGCCUUUUUCCAUGUGUGAUAAUCUCAGGACAAUAACCCACAUUUACUGGACCCAUUGGAACCGGGACGCGUUUGAGUGUUCUAACACAAACCAAAUUAGUCCUCUGCUUUGAGUAGGUCUUUUCAUUAUCCUGAUUUUGCAGAUUUGGAAAAUAAGGCCAAGGACUUUCAUAUUCUUGCUUAGGGUCCCAUAGCCAGUCAGUGAUGGAACCAGAUUUCAAAUCCAUGAAGUCUGGCCUCGAUUGCUAAGCAGUCCAUCCAUGAUCAGCACCUGAGCGUCAGCUGGGGAGCGGGCAUCCUCGUAGAUAACGUUCUUCUAUUAACUUUGUAGCUAUGCUGAACUCCAGAAGGGUAAGGCUCCAGCUAGGACAAAAAUCAGGAAAAAAGACACCAUUCAGCGUGGGAGAAGGUGAUGGAGAGGCUGUGACCACCAGCUGGCCAGUGAGACCCUCCUUUGGGAUGUGUUCUCUGUCCCCCCACUCUGGUCCCAUAGCAGGAGCCAUUUUCAAGGACUCCACCUUGAGACAGCACACCGUUGUAGAGACCACCUGGCCAGCAGACGUGGCUGGACCCCGUCAGGCCUCUCUACAAAUGGAAGAUCCUGGCGGGUGGAUGCAGAGACCUCCUCGCUGGGUGGUACCCAAGGCAAGCCUGGCAAGUUUUGGAGUGACAAGGCACUGUUACUGGAUCCCAGUGGCCAGGGCUCCUUGACAAGAGCGGGAACCAGCAUGGAGCCAGCUGGUGGCAGGUGUGUCCGUGUAAGAGGCCAGGCUGAUACGGAAACACUGCCCGAGCCACAUCACAGGGGAAGAGAAAUGUGUGGGAUAAGACUGAGUUUUUGGAGUCAAAGUUUCUCAUCUUUGUUACAUUACAAAGGAACCAGGAGCACCUUCUUUAUGGAUUACACUGGGCCAAGGACGGGCUGUCUGGAAAUCAGUGCCGUGACUUUCACCCCUGCUGGUCUUUGACUCUGGAGAAGAGUCAGGCGUGCAGCUGGCAAGAGAUAUGCCUCUGCAUGUGUUUGCAGGCUGAGCUCUUGAUGGAAUGUGUGUGGGGCUGCAUUACAAAACGCUAAGCAAGCAGAUCGCUCUUUGAGCACAUUUACGUAGCUUCUGUUUCUACCUUUGAUAAAGCACAGAUUAAUUCCAUUUGCAUACCUCCUCCUUCACUCGGAACAUUUGCCAGCAUUCAUUAAGACCAUGUUAGCAAAACAUCCUCUACUGAACCAUCAAAGCCUACAAAUGACUUGUUACUAGGGAGCUUAAUUCUGGUGGAGGUGGAGAAGGAAGGAAGAGUAGAGAUGGAUGUGAGAUAGCGCACGUGUGCUUACGUACAUGCUGAGCGCGCUCGCUGGCCCCCGCUCAAAGACGAGAACAUCUCUCUGAGGGCGAUCAUGGUUGACGGGGCGAGAAGUGCAAUGUUUUCAGAUUAAUUUUGAAAACAGAGCUGGCCAGACCUGCUGACAGAUUGUACACAGGUAAGAGGAGAAGUGAGCAGUUAAGGGAAUCACCUAAGUGUGGAGCUGAAGUUGACCAGUGGUGCCCACGACUGAGUGGCUGAACUUUUGGGAGAAAGGGAUCAGAACUUUGUUUCGACUACGAGAUAUCACAGUAGAGGUUGAGUAGACACGUGCAGAAACCGGAGCCUGUGACUUAGCGUGUAGAUAAAUACAAAGGUCGAGCCCCAGGGCACCACCAUUUAUAGGAGGAAGAUAACAAGCGAAGGAGAGACCGGAAAGGCAGGAGGAGAUUUCAGGAGAGCAUGGCCUCCCAGCAAAUAAACUGAAGCCACAUUCAACCAUGUGGAAUGCUGACCAGAGACGGAGUCUGGUGAGUCUACAGAGUCGGCCACAGGUCUUUGUAAGGUGGAGGACGGGUUCCAUCGGGGUGCUGGGGGCAGAAGUUUGAGAAGAGACUCAGAAGUAAAGAAGUGGAGAAAUGGUCAGAACAGACAAUAAUGCUGAGUUUUACCACAAAAAGGAUGUAAAAAUUAUCUGUCUCUUCUAGAAAUGGUAAAAAUAUUAACGAUCAUUAAGAAUCUAUCCUUUCAUUCUGAAAUAAUACUUUAUUACUUUAAUUUUAUUUUACUGCUGGGUUUUAUUUGCCUGGAAUUUAUGAUGGGCUUUUAUAGCAAUGUUUCAAAGGGAGACUUUGGUUUUUUUCUUAUGCUCUCUUCAUCUGGGUUAUAUACUGGGUUUAGAGCAUUUCUGUAUUUCUGUGUUUAAGCCCGUUUAUAAAGGAUAAGAAUUUUGAAAAGAUAAAAUCACUUACAGAACUGUCUUAGCAGAGCACCUUCCCAGAAGUAAUUCCUUAACUACUUCCCUGUCCCCCAGUUUGGUCCAUGGCUACUUUCCCAUGCAACUUUUCUAAUUAUUUCAUUUAAUUUAUGACAUUUUUGUAUUAUAAAAAUGUUUGUAUUCAGAUUUCCUAAUAAAGCAACAUUUUUCUAUUGUA
Mustela lutreola (European mink) is the source of this 5288-nucleotide long non-coding RNA. RefSeq lists it as uncharacterized. The record is from RefSeq and is a predicted model, not a curated record. The transcript is spliced from 3 exons. Lineage: Eukaryota; Metazoa; Chordata; Mammalia; Carnivora; Mustelidae.